RNAcentral lists this ribosomal RNA (492 nucleotides) under uncultured bacterium. Its description in RNAcentral is "partial 16S ribosomal RNA". It matches the Rfam family "Bacterial small subunit ribosomal RNA", at positions 28 to 507 of the family's 1533-position model. The record is from RNAcentral.
GAUGAACGCUAGCUACAGGCUUAACACAUGCAAGUCGAGUGGAAACGACAUCGAAAGCUUGCUUUUGAUGGGCGUCGACCGGCGCACGGGUGAGUAACGCGUAUCCAACCUGCCCACCACUUGGGGAUAACCUUGCGAAAGUAAGACUAAUACCCAAUGACGUCUCUAGAAGACAUCUGAAAGAGAUUAAAGAUUUAUCGGUGAUGGAUGGGGAUGCGUCUGAUUAGCUUGUUGGCGGGGUAACGGCCCACCAAGGCGACGAUCAGUAGGGGUUCUGAGAGGAAGGUCCCCCACAUUGGAACUGAGACACGGUCCAAACUCCUACGGGAGGCAGCAGUGAGGAAUAUUGGGCAAUGGACGAGAGUCUGAACCAGCCAAGUAGCGUGCAGGAGGACGGCCCUAUGGGUUGUAAACUGCUUUUAUAAGGGAAUAAAGUGAGUCUCGUGAGACUUUUUGCAUGUACCUUAUGAAUAAGGACCGGCUAAUUCCGUG